AAAAAUAAAAUAAAAAACACACAAGAUAAAUAAAGCUAAAACAUAAACAAAAUACAAGAAAACAAGUGUAAAUAAAUAUCACCCACCCCACACUUGAAGGACACACUGUCCCUAGCGUACAAAAAAAAAGAAAUAAAAAAGAAAAAAGAACUAAUACAGCCCUGAUUAUGGCUCCGGAGGGAAAAGAGGUGCAUCAUCAGGG
RNAcentral lists this long non-coding RNA (202 nucleotides) under Ricinus communis (castor bean). RNAcentral describes it as "long non-coding RNA (RCOM_LNC001717)". Lineage: Eukaryota; Viridiplantae; Streptophyta; Magnoliopsida; Malpighiales; Euphorbiaceae. The record is from RNAcentral.